GGGGAUUCUGUGUCCCUGCGUCCAGAAAAGGGACAGAUAUAGAAAAGGAGGAUGCAGUCUCACUGGGCCAUAAACAUAUAUGAUUCCUUCUUGGAAGGAAUCAGAAAUACUCACAGGCCUUCUAUUUUCUGGGUAAACUGAUAGAACGCAGGCUGUUUAAAUCGACAGUCAAACCACAAUGCCCCCUGGUGGUGAAAUCAUGCAUCUACACAUCUCAUCACAGAUAGGAAAUUCUCCAAUAAGGUCAACACGACAAGGACAUCUGCAGAGAUCUUUCUACAUGCUCUGCCAACUUGGCACUCAUCUAUAACUUUAGAUGACGAGGCAGAACACCAGUGAUGACUGCAAACAUAUGCUUGAUUUUUUUAAGCAACGGGAAAAUGAAAAAUGAACGGGAGGAGGGAACACUGCUGCCUUCUGAGGACAGAGGUCGUGUUUCAAGGAGUCAGGAGUGAUGGGGAGGUGGGACGAGAAUGAAGACUUAGGGGAAUCUGAAGAAAACAAGGUGGUGUGUGGAGAAUGAGGGCAGUCAGUGAAGCCAAAUAGCACCAGGUGGAAAAAUAGCCUAAAAGAAGUACAAGACUAAUCAUCCAAAAAUUCUAAAGCAAAAAUAAAAACCCAUAAUUCAGCAAAAGACACACUUUCAGGUGUUUAGAAGACUGUGGUUAUCCAUUUAAAGAUGUUCCUCUCCCAAGGAAUCUCUGAGAAUUAUAAAUGUG
Molecule: non-coding RNA, 719 nt
Filed under: Pongo abelii (Sumatran orangutan)
Lineage: Eukaryota; Metazoa; Chordata; Mammalia; Primates; Hominidae
Source: RNAcentral